This 336-nucleotide unclassified non-coding RNA is filed under the name soil metagenome. RNAcentral describes it as "partial contains 5.8S ribosomal RNA, internal transcribed spacer 2, and large subunit ribosomal RNA". The stretch from base 1 to 120 matches the Rfam family "5.8S ribosomal RNA", at positions 35 to 154 of the family's 154-position model. The record is from RNAcentral.
GAUGAAGAACGCAGCGAAAUGCGAUAAGUAGUGUGAAUUGCAGAAUUCAGUGAAUCAUCGAAUCUUUGAACGCACAUUGCGCCCCUUGGUAUUCCAUGGGGCAUGCCUGUUCGAGCGUCAUUUGUACCUUCAAGCUUUGCUUGGUGUUGGGUGUUUGUCUCGCCUUUGCGUGUAGACUCGCCUUAAAAUAAUUGGCAGCCGGCGUAUUGAUUUCGGAGCGCAGUACAUCUCGCGCUUUGCACUCAUAAAGACAGCGUCCAAAAGUACAUUUUACACUCUUGACCUCGGAUCAGGUAGGGAUACCCGCUGAACUUAAGCAUAUCAAUAAGCGGAGGA